GAUGAACGCUGGCGGCGUGCCUAAUACAUGCAAGUAGAACGCUGAAGCUUGGUGCUUGCACCGAGCGGAUGAGUUGCGAACGGGUGAGUAACGCGUAGGUAACCUGCCUCUUAGCGGGGGAUAACUAUUGGAAACGAUAGCUAAUACCGCAUAAAAGUCGACAUUGCAUGAUGUUGACUUGAAAGGUGCAAAUGCAUCACUAAGAGAUGGACCUGCGUUGUAUUAGCUAGUUGGUGAGGUAACGGCUCACCAAGGCGACGAUACAUAGCCGACCUGAGAGGGUGAUCGGCCACACUGGGACUGAGACACGGCCCAGACUCCUACGGGAGGCAGCAGUAGGGAAUCUUCGGCAAUGGGGGCAACCCUGACCGAGCAACGCCGCGUGAGUGAAGAAGGUUUUCGGAUCGUAAAGCUCUGUUGUAAGAGAAGAACGAGUGUGAGAGUGGAAAGUUCACACUGUGACGGUAACUUACCAGAAAGGGACGGCUAACUACGUGCCAGCAGCCGCGGUAAUACGUAGGUCCCGAGCGUUAUCCGGAUUUAUUGGGCGUAAAGCGAGCGCAGGCGGUUAGAUAAGUCUGAAGUUAAAGGCUGUGGCUUAACCAUAGUACGCUUUGGAAACUGUUUAACCUGAGUGCAGAAGGGGAGAGUGGAAUUCCAUGUGUAGCGGUGAAAUGCGUAGAUAUAUGGAGGAACACCGGUGGCGAAAGCGGCUCUCUGGUCUGUAACUGACGCUGAGGCUCGAAAGCGUGGGGAGCAAACAGGAUUAG
Molecule: ribosomal RNA, 770 nt
Filed under: uncultured Bacilli bacterium
Lineage: Bacteria; Bacillati; Bacillota; Bacilli
Description: bacterial SSU rRNA
Rfam family: Bacterial small subunit ribosomal RNA
Source: RNAcentral